CAACAGGGAUUGCCCUAGUAACGGCGAGUGAAGCGGCAACAGCUCAAAUUUGAAAUCUGGCCUCGGCCCGAGUUGUAAUUUGCAGAGGAAGCUUUAGGCGCGGCACCAUCUGAGUCCCCUGGAACGGGGCGCCAUAGAGGGUGAGAGCCCCGUAUAGUUGGAUGCCUAGCCUGUGUAAAGCUCCUUCGACGAGUCGAGUAGUUUGGGAAUGCUGCUCAAAAUGGGAGGUAAAUUUCUUCUAAAGCUAAAUACCGGCCAGAGACCGAUAGCGCACAAGUAGAGUGAUCGAAAGAUGAAAAGCACUUUGAAAAGAGGGUUAAAUAGCACGUGAAAUUGUUGAAAGGGAAGCGCUUGUGACCAGACUUGCGCCGGGCCGAUCAUCCGGUGUUCUCACCGGUGCACUCGGCCCGGCUCAGGCCAGCAUCGGUUCUCGCGGGGGGAUAAAGGCCCUGGGAACGUAGCUCCUCCGGGAGUGUUAUAGCCCAGGGCGUAAUGCCCUCGCGGGGACCGAGGUUCGCGCAUCUGCAAGGAUGCUGGCGUAAUGGUCAUCAGCGA
RNAcentral lists this ribosomal RNA (555 nucleotides) under Chaetomiaceae sp. SGSGf04. RNAcentral describes it as "eukaryotic LSU rRNA". It matches the Rfam family "Eukaryotic large subunit ribosomal RNA", at positions 66 to 647 of the family's 3401-position model. The record is from RNAcentral. Lineage: Eukaryota; Fungi; Ascomycota; Sordariomycetes; Sordariales; Chaetomiaceae.